UCGGGAAUUUUGGGCAAUGGGCGAAAGCCUGACCCAGCAACGCCGCGUGGAGGAUGAAGUAUUUCGGUAUGUAAACUUCGAAAGAAUAGGAAGAAUAAAUGACGGUACUAUUUAUAAGGUCCGGCUAACUACGUGCCAGCAGCCGCGGUAAUACGUAGGGACCAAGCGUUGUUCGGAUUUACUGGGCGUAAAGGGCGCGUAGGCGGCAAUUCAAGUCAUCUGUGAAAUCUCCGGGCUUAACUCGGAACGGUCAGAUGAUACUGCUUUGCUAGAGUGCAGAAGGGGCAAUCGGAAUUCUUGGUGUAGCGGUGAAAUGCGUAGAUAUCAAGAGGAACACCUGAGGUGAAGACGGGUUGCUGGGCUGACACUGACGCUGAGGCGCGAAAGCCAGGGGAGCAAACGGGAUUAGAUACCCGCGUAGUCCCUGAGCGGGCUGGCAAGGCGCAU
RNAcentral lists this ribosomal RNA (447 nucleotides) under uncultured bacterium. RNAcentral describes it as "bacterial SSU rRNA". It matches the Rfam family "Bacterial small subunit ribosomal RNA", at positions 355 to 825 of the family's 1533-position model. The record is from RNAcentral.